UGAACGCUGGCGGCGUGCCUAAUACAUGCAAGUCGAACGAACAGAUAAGGAGCUUGCUCCUUUGACGUUAGCGGCGGACGGGUGAGUAACACGUGGAUAACCUACCUAUAAGACUGGGAUAACUUCGGGAAACCGGAGCUAAUACCGGAUAACAUAUUGAACCGCAUGGUUCAAUAGUGAAAGGCGGCUUUGCUGUCACUUAUAGAUGGAUCCGCGCCGUAUUAGCUAGUUGGUAAGGUAACGGCUUACCAAGGCAACGAUACGUAGCCGACCUGAGAGGGUGAUCGGCCACACUGGAACUGAGACACGGUCCAGACUCCUACGGGAGGCAGCAGUAGGGAAUCUUCCGCAAUGGGCGAAAGCCUGACGGAGCAACGCCGCGUGAGUGAUGAAGGUCUUCGGAUCGUAAAACUCUGUUAUCAGGGAAGAACAAAUGUGUAAGUAACUGUGCACAUCUUGACGGUACCUGAUCAGAAAGCCACGGCUAACUACGUG
Molecule: ribosomal RNA, 495 nt
Filed under: uncultured bacterium
Lineage: Bacteria
Description: partial 16S ribosomal RNA
Rfam family: Bacterial small subunit ribosomal RNA
Source: RNAcentral